AUUCUUAUAGUAUAAUUAAAUAUUUUAGUUUGUCGUACUAAAGAUCUCUCUCGGAGUAAGAAUU
RNAcentral lists this transfer RNA (64 nucleotides) under Brachionus manjavacas. Its description in RNAcentral is "tRNA-Asp". The record is from RNAcentral. Lineage: Eukaryota; Metazoa; Rotifera; Eurotatoria; Ploima; Brachionidae.